RNAcentral lists this Y RNA (113 nucleotides) under Cercocebus atys (sooty mangabey). Its description in RNAcentral is "Y RNA (ENSCATG00000008595.1)". It matches the Rfam family "Y RNA". From Rfam's summary of the family: Y RNAs are components of the Ro ribonucleoprotein particle (Ro RNP), in association with Ro60 and La proteins. The record is from Rfam by way of RNAcentral. Lineage: Eukaryota; Metazoa; Chordata; Mammalia; Primates; Cercopithecidae.
GGCUGGCCUGAAGGCAGUGAGUUAUCUCAAAUGAGAGUUCACAACCAGCUACAGACUGAACUCCUUGCUCUAUUCUCUACCCCGUUCUCACUACUUCACUGAACUAGUUUUAA